Long non-coding RNA from Sciurus vulgaris (Eurasian red squirrel), 1668 nucleotides. The record is from Ensembl. Lineage: Eukaryota; Metazoa; Chordata; Mammalia; Rodentia; Sciuridae.
AUGCGCGUGCGCAUGGUGGCCCGUGCUGUCCGGGCUGGCCUUCUCACUGCUGGGGACUCCUCUUUCACCUCUGCUGUCCGGGUCCGAGUCCUGGGCCGUCUCUUUGUGCUUGCUGGCCUGUCCACUGGUUCUGGUUGUGGAGAACUGCACAGCACUUCUGUGGUCUUCUCAUCAUCUGUGAGUGCCUCCAUGGGGCCUGGUGCUGGGACUGGUUCUGUGAGGCCAGCCCAGUCCUCCCGGGGCUGGGUCUUCUGCUCAGGCACCCCUCGGCGCCUCUUGCUGCCCGCUCCACCGGCAGUGGGAUUCAGCUUCCGCUUCACAGGUUCCUUGAUCACUUUGACAUUUUUACUGUCCCCUUCAGGUUCCUGGGGUGUGUGCAUGGGUCGCCCUGAUGUCGCUGUCACCUCUCCCUGCACUGGCAGCUCUUGGGUCAUAGGUGCUCUCCUGAGUCUCGCCCUGAGCUGUCUCUCUGAGGGUGCUGGAGUUUCCAUGGGUUCUGGCUGUGGAGGCUUACGGGCUAUUUUUCUGUUUUUUUCUUCACUUGUUGGUCCCUCAGGGGGGCCUGGUGCUGGGAUUGGUCCUUUGGAGCCAGCCAGGUGCUCCAGGGGCUGGGCCCUGCCCUCAGGUGCCCCUCGCAGCCUCCUGCUGCCUGCUGCUCUUGCUGCUGGGGCCAGAGUCUGCUGUGCAGGCUCCUCAAAAUCUCCGCUGCCCUGGUCCUCACCUCCUGGUGCUCUGCGCAUGCGCGUGCGCGUGGUGGCCCGUGCUGUCCGGGCUGGCCUUCUCACUGCUGGGGACUCCUCUUUCACCUCUGCUGUCCGGGUCCGAGUCCUGGGCCGUCUCUUUGUGCUUGCUGGCCUGUCCACUGGUUCUGGUUGUGGAGAACUGCACAGCACUUCUGUGGUCUUCUCAUCAUCUGUGAGUGUCUCCGUGGGGCCUGGUGCUGGGAAGAGCUCUUGGAAGCCAGCCAGGUCCUCCAGGGACUCAGCCUUUUCCUUAGGUGCCCCUCGGAGCCUCUUGCUGCCAGUUACUUUUUCUGCUUCGUCCAGUUUCCGCUUUGCAGGUUUUAACAUCUUAACCCCUUUAUUACCACCUGGGCAUUCUUCCUGGAUGGGUACAGUUUCUCCUAAGGUUUGCUUUAGUUUUAUCCCUGGUGAGAGCUCUUCUUUCACCUCCACUUUCCCCACAUCUGUCUUGGACCGUCUCUUUGUGCUUGCUGAUGCUCUGACUGGUUCUGGUUCUGUAGAUCUGCAAGGUGUAUCUGUGGCUUCUCCAGCAGUCUUUGGGUCCUUGUACUGGCCUGGGGUUUGGAAGAGCUCUUGGAAGCCAGCCAGGUCCUCCAGGGGCUGGGACUUUUCCUUAGGUGUCCGUGGUUGUCUCUUAAGUCCAGUUAAAUCUGCUGAGUUCGCCUUCUUUCUUGGAGUUCCCGUGAGUGCUCUGCCCUUCUCUUCUUGUGCUGGUCCCGUGGGUGUGUGCGUGGCUCUGCCUGGGGACUGUGACAGUUUCCUGAGUGCUGACAGCUCUUCCUUCACCUCCACUUUCUGCAGACUUGUCCUUGGCCGUCUCUUUACAGGUGUUAGAGUAUCCCCAGAUACUGGUUCUGUAGAUCUGCAAGGUGUACCUGUGGUCUCUCCAGCAUUCUCUGGGUCCUUGCCACGGCCUGGAGUCUGA